RNAcentral lists this ribosomal RNA (480 nucleotides) under uncultured bacterium. Its description in RNAcentral is "partial 16S ribosomal RNA". It matches the Rfam family "Bacterial small subunit ribosomal RNA", at positions 28 to 523 of the family's 1533-position model. The record is from RNAcentral.
GACGAACGCUGGCGGCGUGCUUAACACAUGCAAGUCGAACGAUGAAGUUCCUUCGGGAAUGGAUUAGUGGCGAACGGGUGAGAAACACGUGAGAAACCGGCCUUUCAUUUGGGGAUAAGUCCGGGAAACCGGUGCUAACACCGGAUACUCCGUGUCGGCGGCAUCGCUGAGCCGGCGAAAAAUUAUGAUGAAAGAUGGUCUCGCGGCCUGUCAGCUAGCUGGUGAGGUAAUGGCUCAGCAAGGCGACGACGGGUAGCCGGCCUGAGAGGGCGGCCGGCCACACUGGGACGGAGACACGGCCCAGACUCCUACGGGAGGCAGCAGUGGGGAAUAUUGGGCAAUGGGAGCAAGCCUGACCCAGCGACGCCGCGUGAGGGAUGAAGGCCUUCGGGUUGUAAACCUCUUUCAGUAGGGAAGAAGCGAAAGUGACGGUACCUAAAGAAGAAGCACCGGCUAACUAUGUGCCAGCCGCCGCGGUAA